AAAUUGAAGAGUUUGAUCAUGGCUCAGAUUGAACGCUGGCGGCAGGCCUAACACAUGCAAGUCGAGCGGAAACGAGUUAUCUGAACCUUCGGGGAACGAUAACGGCGUCGAGCGGCGGACGGGUGAGUAAUGCCUAGGAAAUUGCCCUGAUGUGGGGGAUAACCAUUGGAAACGAUGGCUAAUACCGCAUGAUGCCUACGGGCCAAAGAGGGGGACCUUCGGGCCUCUCGCGUCAGGAUAUGCCUAGGUGG
This 251-nucleotide ribosomal RNA is filed under the name Vibrio parahaemolyticus. RNAcentral describes it as "partial 16S ribosomal RNA". It matches the Rfam family "Bacterial small subunit ribosomal RNA", at positions 1 to 238 of the family's 1533-position model. Lineage: Bacteria; Pseudomonadati; Pseudomonadota; Gammaproteobacteria; Vibrionales; Vibrionaceae. The record is from RNAcentral.